RNAcentral lists this ribosomal RNA (548 nucleotides) under uncultured bacterium. RNAcentral describes it as "bacterial SSU rRNA". It matches the Rfam family "Bacterial small subunit ribosomal RNA", at positions 383 to 939 of the family's 1533-position model. The record is from RNAcentral.
CUGACAGCGACUCCGCGUGUGGGAUGAAGGGGCUCUGCCUCGUAAACCACUGUCGGAUGGGACGAAAAGCGAGUUACGCUCGCCUAGACGGUACCAUCAAAGGAAGGGUCGGCUAACUACGUGCCAGCAGCCGCGGUAAUGCGUAGGACCCAAGCGUUGUCCGGAUUUACUGGGUGUAAAGGGUGCGCAGGCGGACAGGUGCGUCAGAGGUGAAAUUUCCCGGCUUAACUGGGAGGGUGCCUUUGAUACGGCUUGUCUUGAGUGCGAAAGAGGAUGAUGGAAUUCCUGGUGUAGCGGUGAAAUGCGUAGAUAUCAGGAGGAACACCCGUGGCGAAGGCGGUCAUCUGGUUCGCAACUGACGCUGAGGCACGAAAGCGUGGGGAUCAAACAGGAUUAGAUACCCUGGUAGUCCACGCCUUAAACGAUGUAUGCUUGAUAUCGGAGAAAUUCGGUGUCGUAGGUAACCUGAUAAGCAUACCACCUGGGAAGUACGAUCGCAAGGUUGAAACUCAAAGGAAUUGACGGGGGCCCGCACAAGCGGUGGAUCA